Molecule: non-coding RNA, 73 nt
Organism: Trachymyrmex septentrionalis
Lineage: Eukaryota; Metazoa; Arthropoda; Insecta; Hymenoptera; Formicidae
Source: Rfam
GUCUCGGUAGUCUAAAGGCUUAGGACGCUCGCACGGAAUGCAAGAGAUCCGGGUUCGACUCCCAGCCGAGGCA